Molecule: long non-coding RNA, 629 nt
Filed under: Populus tremula
Lineage: Eukaryota; Viridiplantae; Streptophyta; Magnoliopsida; Malpighiales; Salicaceae
Description: long non-coding RNA (PTRE_LNC001263)
Source: RNAcentral
CCCCACCCAUGGUCCUCUUUUCUUUGUUUCCCGCCGACAAUGGUGGCCCUCCUGAUGAUGAAAGCUUCUAUUUCUUCUCAUCUCCAGCUUUGUAAAAGGAGAGAGAUGGGAGCCAUUUUUUUUUCGAAGAUCCAGCAGGAGGGGGGAGACACCCACAAGCCCCAAUCCCUUUGGGAUUUUUCAUCUCCCUCUCAUCAACACCAAGAGAAGCCAAGGAAGCCGCUCACCCAAAUAAAGCCCUUCCCCCCUGGUGAAUUAUUUUUUUUCUCCCGGGCAGCCACCAUCAGAAAACCAAGGCAGCCCCCCCUGGUUUUGAUUUUUGACCGGCUGUGAGACAAGCCUCCAUUUUGAUUUUUUUUUUCUUCUUUCCCCGUUGAAGCCGCUGGCCAGCCCCCCACCACUUUGAAUUUUUUUUAUUUUUUUCUUCUUUCUGGUUCUCACCCAAAGACAACCGAACCAGCCCCCCCCAUCCUCUGCUUUGUUUUGGUUUUCCUUUCAACACCGGAACCAUUCUCUUCUUCUCCUUCAACCAGCCACAACCGAUUUUCCCCUUCCUCACCGAACCCGAAACCAGCCGUCAAUCUUCCUUGUCCCAGCACCGAACCAGUUCUCCAAGGCAGCCUUCACCC